GUGAAAAGGAGAACAAGCUUCAGGCGGCUCUCGUGCAGGGGGGCGCUAGUUCACCGAACCUCCAGGGGCCGAUCAGCCUCGGUGCGACAAUUUACGCUUCGAGGUUUGCGGUGAAUGCGCUCAAGGCGUUGAGACGAAACGGGACAAGGAAGGCGCGGUUGCAAGAGAGGAUGCCUGUCAUGUUGUUGCAGAAGCCUUCUGAGCCCGACUUCACAUCCGAAGAACGCUAGCGUUGUCG
This 238-nucleotide unclassified non-coding RNA is filed under the name Hevea brasiliensis (rubber tree). The record is from RNAcentral. Lineage: Eukaryota; Viridiplantae; Streptophyta; Magnoliopsida; Malpighiales; Euphorbiaceae.